This is a non-coding RNA of Nicotiana tabacum (common tobacco), 1276 nucleotides long. The record is from RefSeq and is a predicted model, not a curated record. Lineage: Eukaryota; Viridiplantae; Streptophyta; Magnoliopsida; Solanales; Solanaceae.
UCCAGAACGUCUCCCAUCAUUCUUUUCCUCCUUACCCUAAAUUUUUGUUGCUUUUUUUUUUGCGCCGCUGCUGGAGCUCCUCCUUCACUAUAGCAAAUCUCCAUCCUUUCUCUAUUGUCCAAGUUCUUAAUUCCAGCUGAAGGAGAGAAAUGGGUAAUGACUGGUCUUCGUGAUAUUUGGAAGCGACACAAGAGGAAUAUUAAGAAGAAAUAUUUUGAUAAAAAUUCUACUAUUGAACAAAUGCUACAAAUUUGUCCCAAUGAGAUACCUGAAGUUCAGUUCCGUCAAUUGAUUGAGUAUUGGGAUAAUGAAGAUGUCCAAGCUAUGUGCCAAUUGAAUUCUGAAAAUAGGAAAAAAUAAAAGUGGAGGCAUAGAAUGAGACCUAUUAAUUUUGCAAGAGUGCGUGUGGCAUAGCGCGCAACCAAAGAGAACAAUGAGGAACCAUCAAAGUCUGAAAUGUUUAUUACAACUCGUACAAAGAAAGGGAAGGAAGUUCAUACAGAUACUCAAGUUGCAAUAUUUGAACUUCAGAAUUGUCAAAGUUCCGAAGAAACAACAGAUGAUGCAUUUAGGGCUGUACUUGGAAAGGAGCAGCCUGGUCGGGUUAGAUGCUAUGGUAGAUCGGAGACGACAAGCUCUCUGAAAAAAGAUGAAUAAAUCACCAAGCUUAAACAAAACAUGCCAAUGAAAUAACUUCUCUGAAGGAAGAAAUGAAGAAAAUGAUGAGAAAAGAAAUGCGAUGUUUUUUUAGUCAAAUGGUGAAAAACAACCCCAGACUGGAUUUUCAUGAUACAAGGGUGUGUUGGAUCUAAUAUUCCUUCACCAGUUGAUGCAAGUAGUGCACGAGCUAUGAGAGGCCAAAAUCUACCACAUUCUUCUGGCUCAACUCACGCCCCAAGUCUUGAAAAGGUUGCUAUUGUCAAAGACAUACAAGAAUCAAUGCUAGAAGAAGUUGGCUUCAAGAAGGGGCUGCAAAUGUUGAGUCAUUCAGGAGGUAUUUAGAAGCCAUGGGACUUACUAAGCAGGUCACUGCUCCAAAAGUCUACCCUCAAUGUAGUACUAAGCAUGUUCUAACAAUGGAGAGGCUAUAUGGAGUUCCUUUGACGGACUUAGACUCCAUUAAGUCACUGGUUUUUAGUCCUGAGAUCAGUCUUAUUACUGCCCUUAAUGUUUGGUGAAGACCUUUUGAACAAUUGGGAUGUUUAUUUUUAUUGAUUCUAUAAAUAUGAAUACAUUUGGUUUUGUAGAGGUCUUUUCUAGUGAACUCUUGAACCAG